This 497-nucleotide ribosomal RNA is filed under the name uncultured bacterium. RNAcentral describes it as "partial 16S ribosomal RNA". It matches the Rfam family "Bacterial small subunit ribosomal RNA", at positions 30 to 507 of the family's 1533-position model. The record is from RNAcentral.
CGACCGCUGGCGGCGUGCCUAAUACAUGCACGUCGCGCGGACCGAACCGGAGCUUGCUCUUGUUCGGUUAGCGGCGGACGGGUGAGUAACACGUGGGUAACCUGCCCGUAAGACCGGGAUAACUCCGGGAAACCGGAGCUAAUACCGGAUAACACCGAAGACCGCAUGGUCUUUGGUUGAAAGGCGGCUUCGGCUGCCACUUACGGAUGGGCCCGCGGCGCAUUAGCUAGUUGGUGAGGUAACGGCUCACCAAGGCGACGAUGCGUAGCCGGCCUGAGAGGGUGACCGGCCACACUGGGACUGAGACACGGCCCAGACUCCUACGGGAGGCAGCAGGAGGGAAUCUUCCGCAAUGGACGAAAGUCUGACGGAGCGACGCCGCGUGAGCGAAGAAGGGCUUCGGAUCGUAAAGCUCUGUUGUUAGGGAAGAAGAAGCGUCGUUCGAACAGGGCGGCGCGGUGACGGUACCUAACGAGAAAGCCCCGGCUAACUACGUG